AUUUUAGAUUUAUCUGACAAGACCCAGAUGGAAAAAGAAGUAGAAGAGACUGAGAUUUUGACUGUGAGCUUUGGGCCUAGUGUUUUCUUAGUUUGGAGAGUGUAUGAAGAAGAGUGAGUGUGAAUGUUUAUAUAAUGUGUGGAUUGUAUUGUAUACGUGUAUGUGUUAUAUAUAUGUAUAUAUGUAUGUAUGGGCUUUGUGUUAUGUAAAGGAGGUUACAGAAUUAUUGUCGCUACGUAUAGAGAGAGAAAGUGUUGUUGGGUGGGAGAGCAAGAGAGAGAAUGUCUUUUAUUGAGAAGACGAAAUGUUCCCACAAAGAUCAAAUCUUUUUUUUUUUCUCCAUUGAGAGAGAAGAGAGAAGAGAGAAGAGGAGAGAGUGUGACAAAGUGUCAUUUAUCAAAUGGACAAGAGAAAUUAAAACUUUUUUUUUGAACAAAGAAAUUAAAACUUAAAAAAAAAAAA
This is a long non-coding RNA of Brassica rapa (field mustard), 462 nucleotides long. RefSeq lists it as uncharacterized. The record is from RefSeq and is a predicted model, not a curated record. NCBI's taxonomy places the organism in Eukaryota, Viridiplantae, Streptophyta, Magnoliopsida, Brassicales, Brassicaceae.